RNAcentral lists this ribosomal RNA (201 nucleotides) under Helotiales sp. Its description in RNAcentral is "partial large subunit ribosomal RNA". It matches the Rfam family "Eukaryotic large subunit ribosomal RNA", at positions 82 to 279 of the family's 3401-position model. Lineage: Eukaryota; Fungi; Ascomycota; Leotiomycetes; Helotiales. The record is from RNAcentral.
AGUAACGGCGAGUGAAGCGGCAACAGCUCAAAUUUGAAAUCUGGCUCUUUCAGGGUCCGAGUUGUAAUUUGUAGAAGAUGCUUUGGGUGUGGCUCCGGUCUAAGUUCCUUGGAACAGGACGUCAUAGAGGGUGAGAAUCCCGUACGUGACUGGGUGCCUUCGCUCGUGUAAAGCUCUUUCGACGAGUCGAGUUGUUUGGGA